CCCGCAACGAGCGCAACCCUGCCUUUAGUUGCCAGCAGUUCGGCUGGGCACUCUAAAGGGACUGCCGGUGUUAAACCGGAGGAAGGUGGGGAUGACGUCAAGUCCUCAUGGCCUUUAUGACCAGGGCUACACACGUACUACAAUGGCCGAUACAAAGGGCAGCGACACUGCGAGGUGAAGCCAAUCCCGUAAAAUCGGUCUCAGUCCGGAUUGGAGUCUGCAACUCGACUCCAUGAAGUUGGAAUCGCUAGUAAUCGUGGAUCAGCAUGCCACGGUGAAUACGUUCCCGGGCCUU
RNAcentral lists this ribosomal RNA (295 nucleotides) under uncultured Desulfobulbus sp. RNAcentral's name for it is "partial 16S ribosomal RNA". It matches the Rfam family "Bacterial small subunit ribosomal RNA", at positions 1086 to 1382 of the family's 1533-position model. Lineage: Bacteria; Pseudomonadati; Thermodesulfobacteriota; Desulfobulbia; Desulfobulbales; Desulfobulbaceae. The record is from RNAcentral.